GGGGGGGGCGCUGGGCGAUGUGCGCGCGGAGCUGGCGGCGCGCGGGCAGAGCGCGUGAUGCGGGGGGGGGAGGCGGCUCGUGCCUUCGUCCUUAAAGCGACAGAGGCCGCGCGCGAGAGGGGUGGGCGGCAACAUGGCGGCGGGCGCCCGGCAGCUCUCAACGCCUUGUAGGCCGCGCUCUCGAAGCGCGCCGGGGAGGGCCCCUCCGCGGGGCGGGCCCGGGCGGGGGUGACCUCCAGCUGUUCCUGCGGCGCCCGGGCGUCCUUUAACCACCCCGGCGGCGCCGCGGCUCCUGCGGCGUGAGCGGUCUGCUCGAGGCCGGGCUGCGGCUGUCCGGGCGGCGGCGGCGGGGGAGGGCCGGGGCUGCGUGCCCGGGCGCUGCCGGCUCGGCGCGCGUUGCAGGUUGGAGGCGGAGGCGGGCUGAGCGUGCGUGUGGGGCGCCGAGGGCCGAUGGCUGCCGCAUCCCUGACCCGCACGCAGUGCGCUUCUGCCUUGCCUUCCGUUUGUCGUUAGGAUAAUCCGUGCUGAGGGCUGGGAAAUGCAGUUUCUGAGGCGUCCUGUGGCUGGCUUUUAAAACGCGGUGCUGCUUUCCAGUUUCUUCAGCAGCAACGACAGACUUGGCAACGCCCAUCUUCUGCUCAGUCGCCUGCCCGCAGCGCAAGGUUUACUGUCCUAGCAGACACACCAGGUUAACAGCCUCCAUGAAUUCUUAUUUUGGGACAACUUUAUUCAUUUGGGACAACUUUAUUCAUGGUAGUGACUACACUUAAUUCUCAGUCUUCCAAAGAAGAGCAUAAUGAACUCUGAAAGGAGGAUUUACCUGAAGAAAAUACUUAUGCCUGUCAACUAACUCACAGCUGCUUCAUGAAGCAGACAUCUUCCUUGCUGACAAUGCUGACUUCCGAGGACAGCUGAAACAGACAGGAAGAGAAAAUUGCAACUGGAAGACCAGUUCAAGUAUGGGGAGAAAAGUUAAAGUAUGGGAAGGUUUUGAGGGCUUUAUUGCUGGAGGAGUCAAGUGACAAGCUUGCUUGAAGAAGGCAACUUUGAAAACGCAUGAACUAGAUAGCAAAGCACUAUAGAAAGCAGGGGAGAAUAAGUAGCUGUGUGGAAGAACAAUGAUCACCCAAGACACAAGGUGAGCCUGAAGAGGAGAGGAUUUCAAAGGCUCUGAUCCUUAUGAUGUAUAUGAAAAGAAUCCAGUUGACUUUAGGAGACUUUUGUUUGUGUUCAAAGAGAAUUCAAAGACAGGAAUGCUGUUAUGCUGUAGCAGAAGAGAAAGAUGACUUUCACAGCACUGAUGUUUUGGAUAAGGAUUCUUUCAAAUCGUCUUAGCUUAAAACAAUGAAAUUGACAAUCAGACAAAACACAGAAAUGGGAAGCAUGAGCUAAAUAAUUUUACAGGUAGAGUAACACCUUAAUGGGGCAGUAAAUAAGCAGAGACCCUUAUCUGACAUGACUAACCAUAAAUUUAAAAAAAAAAUACUGAGGGAGGAAGCAGUGUAUGUAUGCAGGAAGCAUACAGAAAGACUGGAAAAUAACCUUUGGAGAAUGUGAGUCUGAAAUGCUCCUAAGAUCUAUGCAAGGAGAGUUGUCCCAGAAACAAAUUUAAGCAUUUGAGAAGGGAAAAGGGCAUUUUUUUAAAAAUUCUUCUACAUAGAGGUAGUAGCUAAAUCAUGGAAUUGGAUGAAGUUCUACUAAAAACAUAGCAGGAGGAGAAAAACCAGUGUGUGGGGGCAAAAGCCAGGAUGUUAUCAUGGAGAUGUCUUAAACUACAAUCCAGGACAGCAAAAGAUUAACAGCAUCUUCUCCGUAGUUAUAUACUAACUAGCUUUAAGCAAGUGCUAAUUUGGAUCACCAAAAAAGAAUUUCUGUAAGCAAAUUACUGUCACUAUUUGAAAUUAAGUAGCAACUUCAGAAGCAGCCUAGGCACAUUCCAUCCCUUCAUGGAUAUCCUGAGUGCACAUGUGUCUUGGGGGAGCAUGCUGGGAAGAAAACGAUGAGCUGAUAAUGUUGAAAGGGGUUAGAAUCAAGAACGGUGUAAAAUGCAACUGAUCCUCUUCUGUUCACAGACCAAAGGAUAGAGAAGUUGCCCUCAUCGCUGUGGUUGGCCAUUUGAAGUACAGUUUAAACAUGCAUUUAUACAAUUAAUUAGAAAUUAGCAGAAUAAUCAAAUACUGAAUGCAAGAUGAAUUAGAUCAGUAAUAGUAAGCUAAAGGAAAAGCUCUGUAAACCACAUUUCAGAAAGAUGGUUGUGGAAUAAAGAUAAGCUCUAUAUUCUCCCCAAUAUACAAAGGUCACAUACAACUUGUAUU
Molecule: long non-coding RNA, 2315 nt
Organism: Aquila chrysaetos chrysaetos
Lineage: Eukaryota; Metazoa; Chordata; Aves; Accipitriformes; Accipitridae
Exons: 3
Source: RefSeq, a predicted model, not a curated record